This 469-nucleotide ribosomal RNA is filed under the name uncultured bacterium. Its description in RNAcentral is "bacterial SSU rRNA". It matches the Rfam family "Bacterial small subunit ribosomal RNA", at positions 34 to 498 of the family's 1533-position model. The record is from RNAcentral.
CGCUGGCGGCAGGCCUAACACAUGCAAGUCGAGCGGAUGAGAGGAGCUUGCUCCUGGAUUCAGCGGCGGACGGGUGAGUAAUGCCUAGGAAUCUGCCUGGUAGUGGGGGACAACGUUUCGAAAGGAACGCUAAUACCGCAUACGUCCUACGGGAGAAAGCAGGGGACCUUCGGGCCUUGCGCUAUCAGAUGAGCCUAGGUCGGAUUAGCUAGUUGGUGAGGUAAUGGCUCACCAAGGCGACGAUCCGUAACUGGUCUGAGAGGAUGAUCAGUCACACUGGAACUGAGACACGGUCCAGACUCCUACGGGAGGCAGCAGUGGGGAAUAUUGGACAAUGGGCGAAAGCCUGAUCCAGCCAUGCCGCGUGUGUGAAGAAGGUCUUCGGAUUGUAAAGCACUUUAAGUUGGGAGGAAGGGUCGUAGAUUAAUACUCUGCAAUUUUGACGUUACCGACAGAAUAAGCACCGGCU